CGCUAUCACUCCCGGGAGGCAGCAGUGGGGAAUAUUGCACAAUGGGGGAAACCCUGAUGCAGCCAUGCCGCGUGUGUGAAGAAGGCCUUCGGGUUGUAAAGCACUUUCAGUAGGGAGGAAGGUAGUGUAGUUAACACCUGCAUUAUUUGACGUUACCUACAGAAGAAGCACCGGCUAACUCCGUGCCAGCAGCCGCGGUAAUACGGAGGGUGCGAGCGUUAAUCGGAAUUACUGGGCGUAAAGCGCAUGCAGGCGGCCUGUUAAGUCAGAUGUGAAAGCCCGGGGCUUAACCUCGGAAUUGCAUUUGAAACUGGCAGGCUAGAGUCUUGUAGAGGGGGUAGAAUUUCAGGUGUAGCGGUGAAAUGCGUAGAGAUCUGAAGGAAUACCAGUGGCGAAGGCGGCCCCCUGGACAAAGACUGACGCUCAGAUGCGAAAGCGUGGGGAGCAAACAGGAUUAGAUACCCUGGUAG
Molecule: ribosomal RNA, 470 nt
Filed under: uncultured bacterium
Lineage: Bacteria
Description: bacterial SSU rRNA
Rfam family: Bacterial small subunit ribosomal RNA
Source: RNAcentral